AGUGAACGCUGGCGGUAGGCCUAACACAUGCCAGUCGAACGGCAGCACAGUAAGAGCUUGCUCUUACGGGUGGCGAGUGGCGGACGGGUGAGGAAUACAUCGGAAUCUACUUUUUCGUGGGGGAUAACGUAGGGAAACUUACGCUAAUACCGCAUACGACCUACGGGUGAAAGCAGGGGAUCUUCGGACCUUGCGCGAUUGAAUGAGCCGAUGUCGGAUUAGCUAGUUGGCGGGGUAAAGGCCCACCAAGGCGACGAUCCGUAGCUGGUCUGAGAGGAUGAUCAGCCACACCGGAACUGAGACACGGUCCAGACUCCUACGGGAGGCAGCAGUGGGGAAUAUUGGACAAUGGGCGCAAGCCUGAUCCAGCCAUACCGCGUGGGUGAAGAAGGCCUUCGGGUUGUAAAGCCCUUUUGUUGGGAAAGAAAAGCAGCAGGUUAAUACCCCGCUGUUCUGACGGUACCCAAAGAAUAAGCACCGGCUAACUUCGUG
This 492-nucleotide ribosomal RNA is filed under the name uncultured bacterium. Its description in RNAcentral is "partial 16S ribosomal RNA". It matches the Rfam family "Bacterial small subunit ribosomal RNA", at positions 29 to 507 of the family's 1533-position model. The record is from RNAcentral.